This 63-nucleotide transfer RNA is filed under the name Macrima sp. REN-2018. Its description in RNAcentral is "tRNA-His". The record is from RNAcentral. Lineage: Eukaryota; Metazoa; Arthropoda; Insecta; Coleoptera; Chrysomelidae.
AUUUAGUUAGUUUAAAAAAAAUUUUGAUUUGUGGAAUCAAGGAUAUAAUUAUUAUACUAAAUU